GACAUGUGAAUAUGCUUACCGUAGACAGUAGGUGCCGCAAGGCUUAAUUUCCUACCGAGGUGUUCUGAUAGAACGUAAUUUCAUGCGGGUUUUCCGCGUGAAAUGCUUCAUUCAAGCCUUCGUGAUUCUACGGAGGCCUUUUUAAUGGUGUG
Molecule: regulatory RNA element, 152 nt
Organism: Paenibacillus macerans
Lineage: Bacteria; Bacillati; Bacillota; Bacilli; Caryophanales; Paenibacillaceae
Rfam family: Ribosomal protein L10 leader
About the family: This family is a putative r-protein leader autoregulatory structure found in B. subtilis and other low-GC Gram-positive bacteria.
Source: Rfam